Molecule: ribosomal RNA, 279 nt
Filed under: uncultured Staphylococcus sp.
Lineage: Bacteria; Bacillati; Bacillota; Bacilli; Caryophanales; Staphylococcaceae
Description: partial 16S ribosomal RNA
Rfam family: Bacterial small subunit ribosomal RNA
Source: RNAcentral
CCUUUGACGUUAGCGGCGGACGGGUGAGUAACACGUGGGUAACCUACCUAUAAGACUGGGAUAACUUCGGGAAACCGGAGCUAAUACCGGAUAAUAUUUCGAACCGCAUGGUUCGAUAGUGAAAGGUGGUUUUGCUAUCACUUAUAGAUGGACCCGCGCCGUAUUAGCUAGUUGGUAAGGUAACGGCUUACCAAGGCGACGAUACGUAGCCGACCUGAGAGGGUGAUCGGCCACACUGGAGCUGAGACACGGUCCAGACUCCUACGGGAGGCAGCAGGC